GAAGUCAGUCGAAGAUACCAGCUGGCUGCAACUGUUUAUUAAAAACACAGCACUGUGCAAACACGAAAGUGGACGUAUACGGUGUGACGCCUGCCCGGUGCCGGAAGGUUAAUUGAUGGGGUUAUCGCAAGAGAAGCUCCUGAUCGAAGCCCCGGUAAACGGCGGCCGUAACUAUAACGGUCCUAAGGUAGCGAAAUUCCUUGUCGGGUAAGUUCCGACCUGCACGAAUGGCGUAAUGAUGGCCAGGCUGUCUCCACCCGAGACUCAGUGAAAUUGAACUCGCUGUGAAGAUGCAGUGUACCCGCGGCAAGACGGAAAGACCCCGUGAACCUUUACUACAGCUUGACACUGAACAUUGAGCCUUGAUGUGUAGGAUAGGUGGGAGGCUUUGAAGCGUGGACGCCAGUCUGCGUGGAGCCGACCUUGAAAUACCACCCUUUAAUGUUUGAUGUUCUAACCUGGCGCCGUGAUCCGGCGUGGGGACAGUGUCUGGUGGGUAGUUUGACUGGGGCGGUCUCCUCCCAAAGUGUAACGGAGGAGCACGAAGGUCAGCUAAUCCUGGUCGGACAUCAGGAGGUUAGUGCAAUGGCAUAAGCUGGCUUGACUGCGAGAGUGACGGCUCGAGCAGGUGCGAAAGCAGGUCAUAGUGAUCCGGUGGUUCUGUAUGGAAGGGCCAUCGCUCAACGGAUAAAAGGUACUCCGGGGAUAACAGGCUGAUACCGCCCAAGAGUUCAUAUCGACGGCGGUGUUUGGCACCUCGAUGUCGGCUCAUCACAUCCUGGGGCUGAAGUAGGUCCCAAGGGUAUGGCUGUUCGCCAUUUAAAGUGGUACGCGAGCUGGGUUUAGAACGUCGUGAGACAGUUCGGUCCCUAUCUGCCGUGGGCGCUGGAGAAUUGAGGGGGGCUGCUCCCAGUACGAGAGGACCGGAGUGGACGCAUCACUGGUGUUCGGGUUGUCAUGCCAAUGGCACUGCCCGGUAGCUAAAUGCGGAAGAGAUAAGUGCUGAAAGCAUCUAAGCACGAAACUUGCCCCGAGAUGAGUUCUCCCUGAGACUAUAAGUCUCCUGAAGGAACGUUGAAGACGACGACGUUGAUAGGCCGGGUGUGUAAGCGCAGCGAUGCGUUGAGCUAACCGGUACUAAUGAACCGUGAGGCUUAACCUU
Molecule: ribosomal RNA, 1162 nt
Filed under: Cronobacter sakazakii
Lineage: Bacteria; Pseudomonadati; Pseudomonadota; Gammaproteobacteria; Enterobacterales; Enterobacteriaceae
Description: bacterial LSU rRNA
Rfam family: Bacterial large subunit ribosomal RNA
Source: RNAcentral